GACGAACGCUGGCGGCGUGCCUAAUACAUGCAAGUAGAACGCACAGUUUAUACCGUAGCUUGCUACACCAUAAACUGUGAGUUGCGAACGGGUUAGUAACGCGUAGCUAACCUGCCUGGUAGCGUGGGAUAACUAUUGGAAACGAUAGCUAAUACCGCAUAAUAUUUAUUAUUGCAUGAUAAUUGAUUGAAAGAUGCUAUUGCAUCACUACCAGAUGGACCUGCGUUGUAUUAGCUAGUAGGUGAGGUAACGGCUCACCUAGGCGACGAUACAUAGCCGACCGGAGAGGGUGAUCAGCCACACUGGGACUGAGACACGGCCCAGACUCCUACGGGAGGGAGCAGUAGGGAAUCUGCGGCAAUGGACGAAAGUCUGACCGAGCAACGCCGCGUGAGUGAAGAAGGUUUUCGGAUCGUAAAGCUCUGUUGUAAGAGAAGAAAGGGUGUGAGAGUGGAAAGUUCACACUGUGACGGUAUCUGACCAGAAAGGGACGGCUAACUACGUG
RNAcentral lists this ribosomal RNA (505 nucleotides) under uncultured bacterium. Its description in RNAcentral is "partial 16S ribosomal RNA". It matches the Rfam family "Bacterial small subunit ribosomal RNA", at positions 28 to 507 of the family's 1533-position model. The record is from RNAcentral.